This 981-nucleotide long non-coding RNA is filed under the name Vulpes vulpes (red fox). RNAcentral's name for it is "lncRNA (ENSVVUG00000012473.1)". Lineage: Eukaryota; Metazoa; Chordata; Mammalia; Carnivora; Canidae. The record is from RNAcentral.
CUGAUAUUUAGGCUGGGUCAUAAGAGGAUAUCUUAGAAUCUGAGGGAAUCACUGCUCCUGGAAAAAAAGGUGUAAAGAGAUGAGACUAUGCUUCAAAGAUGGAGAGCUGGAUAAGCACAGGGUCAGGGCUGGCUAGAAACUAUUUGGAUAAUUUUGCACCAAUGUAAAUGUAUCAGUGAAAUUUGGAAAACGGAAGCAAGAUGUGAGAGGGUGUAAAAUGUAAAAUGUAAAAUUUGCAAAAACGCAAACUACUGACUCUAUAUUGCUUCAGAAUACAGCCCCAAUUCCACCACACUCCAGAGCAGAGCUUCCCCAGUGGAUUAUAAAUGCCCAAUGAGAUAUUUAUGGUCUCAGUUCUCAGAGUGGAGAGAGCUUGCUGGAUAAAAUGUCUGUGUAUAAGGAACAAUUGAACAUUGAGAACACAGAACCUCUGAAUAGAACCUCAGAACUCAAGCUGCUCUGGGGAUUGGGACUAUCUUCCCUGAAGAGAUAACUUUCAGUUGGCAUUUGGAUGAAGGCAGAGGAAGGAAAGUGAUGAGGGGCUAUUUCUUGGCUCCGAAAACUGUGAUUGUGAUAAGAAGUAUUGUGUUACAAAGAGUCUUCUAUGGACACGACAGAUUUUAUGGGCUAGAGGAGAUUCCAGGCACAGUGAAAUCGAGAUGAAGCUGCGCCUUGAUUGGCUGUUAAAUUGCGAUCAAUGAAAAGUAUUUGUACCAUAAUUUUGCAACCACGCAAGACCAAGCCAUGCUGGUGGUAAGUCACUGUGUACAUACCAUCAAAGCUAAAGUCACUGGGAUAACUAAACUAAAUUUUCUUUAAGACAACUGGGUACAAUAGACAUUAUAUUUAAAAAAAAAUCUGGGCAUUUUUCUGCCUCCUGGUUAAAAAGAAAUAACAGAUGAACAAGGACAAACUCCAAAUACGAAUGGUGACUUGUCUCUAUCAUAUGUUAUGAAGAAAACCAAUGCUAGUCUCCCCUUU